CACCUGCUGACUCCUCACCUCCUCCACCUGCCAACUCCGCCCCUCUCCUCCUCCACCUGCCAACUCCGCCCCUCUCCUCCUCCACCUGCCGACCCCUCUCCUCCUCCACCUGCCGACCCCUCUCCUCCUCCACCUGCUGACUCCUCUCCUCUCCUCCUCCACCUGCUGACUCCUCUCCUCUCCUCCUCCACCUGCUGACUCCUCGGGUUGCCGGACAGCAAUCAUCUUAUGAUGUUACCUCUUUUCAUGACGAUUAUGAUCGAUGCCUACGUGGCCCACACUGUAAAAACCAACAAUCAGAGACCAGAAAAGAAAGCACUUCACACCGAUUCAUUAGAAAUGACACGUAUAUGGGAGGGAAGGAGCUCAAGAUUGAAGAUUCAGUGUGACGUGUGUGACCGUUGGUUUCAUACGCAGUGUGUUCAGGAGCCUGAUCCCAUCAAGUUGUGCACAAGAUUCUCCUCCAUUCCCCUGUUAUUAUUUACUAUUAAUAUUUUAGUAUUAAAGUUACUAUUAAAACAAAUAA
Molecule: long non-coding RNA, 526 nt
Organism: Tachysurus vachellii
Lineage: Eukaryota; Metazoa; Chordata; Actinopteri; Siluriformes; Bagridae
Exons: 3
Source: RefSeq, a predicted model, not a curated record